RNAcentral lists this ribosomal RNA (745 nucleotides) under uncultured Tomentella. RNAcentral's name for it is "eukaryotic LSU rRNA". The stretch from base 224 to 383 matches the Rfam family "5.8S ribosomal RNA". Lineage: Eukaryota; Fungi; Basidiomycota; Agaricomycetes; Thelephorales; Thelephoraceae. The record is from RNAcentral.
AUUGUCAACAAGGGUUUUUGCUGUGCCCCCUGUAUGGGGCCAUGUGUCACUGCUCUGGUGUACACAUCCACGUCGAACACCUUGUGCACCCUCUGGUAGGUUCUAGUAGCCCUGGAGGGCCCCUGUCCUCUCUGCUGUGGUUCUACAGUCUUGUACACACACACGAUUGAAAGUAUAUAGUUCUUAAUGGUAAUGUAUGUCGCGUUUAACGCAAUGUAAAUACAACNUUCAGCCACGGAUCUCUUGGCUCUCGCAUCGAUGAAGAACGCAGCGAAAUGCGAUAUAGUAAUGCUGAAUUGCAGAAUUCAGUGAUAUCUAUCGAAUCUUGUGAACGCACCUUGCGCCCUUUGGCUAUUCCGAAGGGCAUGCCUGUUUGAGUAUCUAUGUACACCUCAACUCUCAUGGCUUGCCGUGUAUGAGCUUGGACUUUGGGGGUCUUGCUGGCCUGUGGUCGGCUCCUCUCAAAUGAAUCAGCUUGCCGUGUGUUUGGUGGGAUCACAGGUGUGAUAACUAUCUACGCUUGUGGUUUUCCACCAGGUAACCCUCAGCAAUGGAGGUUCGCCGGAGCUUACAAAUGUCUCUCCCCAGCGAGGACAGAUUUUGACCGUUUGAUCUCAAAUCAGGUAGGACUACCCGCUGAACUUAAGCAUAUCAAUAAGUCGGAUGGAAAAGAAACUAACAAGGAUUCCCCUAGUAACUGCGAGUGAAGCGGGAAGAGCUCAAAUUUAAAAUCUGGCGUGCCUCU